This 73-nucleotide transfer RNA is filed under the name Marmota monax (woodchuck). RNAcentral's name for it is "tRNA.Val". It matches the Rfam family "tRNA". Rfam says of the family: Transfer RNA (tRNA) molecules are approximately 80 nucleotides in length. Their secondary structure includes four short double-helical elements and three loops (D, anti-codon, and T loops). Lineage: Eukaryota; Metazoa; Chordata; Mammalia; Rodentia; Sciuridae. The record is from RNAcentral.
UGUGGAUAUAGCUCAGUUUGUAGAGUGUUUGCCUCACAUGCACAAGGCCCUGGGUUCAAUCCCCCGCACAUAA